This 305-nucleotide ribosomal RNA is filed under the name uncultured bacterium. Its description in RNAcentral is "bacterial SSU rRNA". It matches the Rfam family "Bacterial small subunit ribosomal RNA", at positions 337 to 639 of the family's 1533-position model. The record is from RNAcentral.
UCCUACGGGGGGCAGCAGUGAGGAAUAUUGGUCAAUGGUCGGGAGACUGAACCAGCCAAGCCGCGUGAGGGAUGAAGGUACAGAGUAUCGUAAACCUCUUUUGUCAGGGAACAAAGGCGGGGACGCGUCCCCGGAUGAGUGUACCUGAAGAAAAAGCAUCGGCUAACUCCGUGCCAGCAGCCGCGGUAAUACGGAGGAUGCGAGCGUUAUCCGGAUUUAUUGGGUUUAAAGGGUGCGCAGGCGGUCUGUUAAAUUAGCGGUCAAAGCCCGGGGCUUAACCCCGGCCCGCCGUUGAAACUGGACGG